UACAGAGGGUGCAAGCGUUAAUCGGAAUUACUGGGCGUAAAGCGUGCGUAGACGGUAGCGUAAGUCGGGUGUGAAAGCCCCGGGCUCAACCUGGGAAUUGCAUUCGAGACUGCUCUGCUAGGGUGCGGAAGAGGGGAGCGGAAUUUCCGGUGUAGCGGUGAAAUGCGUAGAUAUCGGAAGGAACACCAGUGGCGAAAGCGGCUCCCUGGUCCAGCACCGACGUCAGGCACGAAAGCGUGGGGAGCAAACAGG
Molecule: ribosomal RNA, 252 nt
Filed under: uncultured bacterium
Lineage: Bacteria
Description: partial 16S ribosomal RNA
Rfam family: Bacterial small subunit ribosomal RNA
Source: RNAcentral